This 350-nucleotide ribosomal RNA is filed under the name uncultured eukaryote. RNAcentral's name for it is "SSU rRNA". It matches the Rfam family "Eukaryotic small subunit ribosomal RNA", at positions 567 to 924 of the family's 1831-position model. The record is from RNAcentral.
CCAGCAGCUGCGGUAAUUCCAGCUCCAAUAGCGUAUAUUUAAGUUGUUGCAGUUAAAAAGCUCGUAGUUGGAUUUCGGGUGGGUUCCAGCGGUCCGCCUAUGGUGAGUACUGCUGUGGCCCUCCUUUCUGUCGGGGACGGGCUCCUGGGCUUCACUGUCCGGGACUCGGAUUCGACGAUGAUACUUUGAGUAAAUUAGAGUGUUCAAAGCAAGCCUACGCUCUGAAUACUUUAGCAUGGAAUAUCGCGAUAGGACUCUGGCCUAUCUCGUUGGUCUGUAGGACCGGAGUAAUGAUUAAGAGGGACAGUCGGGGGCAUUCGUAUUUCAUUGUCAGAGGUGAAAUUCUUGGA